RNAcentral lists this ribosomal RNA (478 nucleotides) under uncultured bacterium. RNAcentral describes it as "partial 16S ribosomal RNA". It matches the Rfam family "Bacterial small subunit ribosomal RNA", at positions 28 to 523 of the family's 1533-position model. The record is from RNAcentral.
GACGAACGCUGGCGGCGUGCUUAACACAUGCAAGUCGAACGGUAAGGCCCUUCGGGGUACACGAGUGGCGAACGGGUGAGUAACACGUGGGUGAUCCGCCCUGCACUUCGGGAUAAGCCUGGGAAACUGGGUCUAAUAUCGGAUAGGACCACUGCCUGCAUGGGUGGUGGUGGAAAGCUUUUGCGGUGUGGGAUGGGCCCGCGGCCUAUCAGCUUGUUGGUGGGGUGAUGGCCUACCAAGGCGACGACGGGUAGCCGGCCUGAGAGGGUGACCGGCCACACUGGGACUGAGAUACGGCCCAGACUCCUACGGGAGGCAGCAGUGGGGAAUAUUGCACAAUGGGCGCAAGCCUGAUGCGGCGACGCCGCGUGAGGGAUGACGGCCUUCGGGUUGUAAACCUCUUUCAGCACCGACGAAGCGCAAGUGACGGUAGGUGCAGAAGAAGGACCGGCCAACUACGUGCCAGCCGCCGCAGUAA